AUGCACAAGAGUUAAAAUGAUUUACCAAAGUGGUGAGAGUGCAGGACAAGAGAGAAAGGAUGCAAAAGAAGCGAAGUAGCCUCUAGUUGCAUCAGGGGCAUAGUAUUGUCCAAUUUGUGAGAGNCCNUAAACUGUCUCAGUGGCACCAUGUUGUGUGGUGCGUGUUGAACUGGUGAGAACAGAAUAACUAGCAAGCAAACGCAGCAUGCGAUCAAGCCUAUUGGGCAAGUCAGGGUGCUGGUUUGGGAGCUUAGAAGCAAUUUCAUGAGAUGACAUGAAUGAACCGUGUGGUGUUCCCUUGCCUAUGAUAUCAAACAAGUUGAGCUCAAUGGCGGCAUUGAGAACUGCAGGGUACACCACAGUGGUACUAAGCAACAUUGCAGAUAGACGAGUACCUUCAUCACAUUUUUUGGGACAAGUUGUAAAGAGGUUAUUGGUGCUAACAACAGUGGAUUCCCCCAUUCUUGACUCUUAAUUUAACUCUAAGUAUCUUUGGUUUCUGGUUUGUUUACAAUUUGCCUGCUUAAUUUGCUCUUGGGUGUGCUCUUUUUAUAGGUGUUUGUAG
This 565-nucleotide long non-coding RNA is filed under the name Vigna radiata. RNAcentral describes it as "long non-coding RNA (VRAD_LNC009234)". The record is from RNAcentral. Lineage: Eukaryota; Viridiplantae; Streptophyta; Magnoliopsida; Fabales; Fabaceae.